GGGACCUACGGGGGGCAGCAGUGGGGAAUAUUGGGCAAUGGGCGCAAGCCUGACCCAGCAACGCCGCGUGAAGGAAGAAGGCUUUCGGGUUGUAAACUUCUUUUCUCAGGGACGAAGCAAGUGACGGUACCUGAGGAAUAAGCCACGGCUAACUACGUGCCAGCAGCCGCGGUAAUACGUAGGUGGCAAGCGUUAUCCGGAUUUACUGGGUGUAAAGGGCGUGUAGGCGGGAAAGCAAGUCAGAUGUGAAAACCACGGGCUCAACCUGUGGCCUGCACUUGAAACUGUUUUUCUUUAGUACUGGA
This 305-nucleotide ribosomal RNA is filed under the name uncultured bacterium. Its description in RNAcentral is "bacterial SSU rRNA". It matches the Rfam family "Bacterial small subunit ribosomal RNA", at positions 332 to 653 of the family's 1533-position model. The record is from RNAcentral.